RNAcentral lists this ribosomal RNA (513 nucleotides) under Triticum aestivum (bread wheat). RNAcentral describes it as "partial small subunit ribosomal RNA". Lineage: Eukaryota; Viridiplantae; Streptophyta; Magnoliopsida; Poales; Poaceae. The record is from RNAcentral.
CCGUCCUCCAGCCCGUUGCAGGCUGCUCCAUCGACCUCGGUGGUUCCUGUGUCCCGACCACAUACACGCAGUCGCAGUGGCAUUUUCAAACCUAAGGAACGUAAGGAUGGUACGGUUGCUUGGUUGGCUGCUUGUUUGGCUGCUGCUGUUGCGGAUCCAUCUUCUGAGCCUCGCUCAUAUCAGGCUGCCCUGCGCAUUCCACAUUGGCGAGAGGCUAUGGAGCAGGAGUUUCAUGCUCUUCUUUGUAACAAGACAUGGACUCUCGUUCCUCCACCACCACGGGUAAAUGUUAUUGACUCAAAAUGGGUAUUCAAAGUGAAGAAGCAUUCGGAUGGAUCUAUUGAGCGUUACAAAGCGCGACUUGUUGCUCGCGGUUUUCGGCAGCGUCAUGGUCUUGACUAUGAGGACACCUUCAGUCCUGUCGUCAAGCCUACCACUAUUCGGCUUCUUCUCUCCAUUGCUGUUUCUCGUGGUUGGUCACUUCGUCAACUUGAUGUGCAGAAUGCUUUUCUA